GACGAACGCUGGCGGCGUGCUUAACACAUGCAAGUGGAGCGACGAACCGGGCUUCGGCCCGGGGCAGAGCCGCGAACGGGUGAGUAACACGUGGAUAACCUACCCCGAUGACCGGGACAACCCGGGGAAACCCGGGCUAAUACCGGAUGUCCUCACCGUCCACAAGGACAGUGAGCAAAGGAAGCUUCGGCCUCCGCAUUGGGAGGGGUCCGCGGCCCAUUAGCUUGUUGGUGAGGUAACGGCUCACCAAGGCAACGAUGGGUAGCUGGUCUGAGAGGACGAUCAGCCACACUGGGACUGAGACACGGCCCAGACUCCUACGGGAGGCAGCAGUGGGGAAUCUUGCGCAAUGCGCGAAAGCGUGACGCAGCAACGCCGCGUGGGUGAAGAAGGCUUUCGGGUCGUAAAACCCUUUCAGCAGGGACGAAGCUCCGGCAGCGAAUAGCUGUCCGGAGUGACGGUACCUGCAGAAGAAGCCCCGGCUAACUACGUGCCAGCCGCCGCAGUAACAC
Molecule: ribosomal RNA, 512 nt
Filed under: uncultured bacterium
Lineage: Bacteria
Description: bacterial SSU rRNA
Rfam family: Bacterial small subunit ribosomal RNA
Source: RNAcentral